This 329-nucleotide long non-coding RNA is filed under the name Phoenix dactylifera (date palm). RNAcentral's name for it is "long non-coding RNA (PDAC_LNC017567)". Lineage: Eukaryota; Viridiplantae; Streptophyta; Magnoliopsida; Arecales; Arecaceae. The record is from RNAcentral.
UUUUUUAAUGUCCCGCUCCCAUUGUGAAACUAUUAAAAUGAACACUAAUAUUCAGAGAAUAAAACUAAUAAUUAAGCUAGCUUAAAAUUUGAAUUAAAAAUAUAUAUCAAUAAUUAAUUUAGUUUUAAAAGCAAAUGUUGUAGCCCAUCAACGAAAGUUGGGAAAAAUAAUUCAGAAUAGCAACUCUCACAUGCUGCUCAAAGUUCACCGAUUUGGUCAUGCGAACAUAAAAUCGUUCCUUAUUUUGGUUCAUUUAUCCAAGUCCAGCAAAACAAUUCAGUAAUUGCAUGUUAUAAUUCAACUCCCACGGAAGUAUUCAUACAACUGAC